AUACGUAGGGGGCGAGCGUUGUCCGAAUUUACUGGGCGUAAAGCGCGUGUAGGCGGUUUCCUAAGUCAGUAGUGAAAUCUUGCGGCUCAACCGCAAAACUGCUUCUGAAACUGGGAGGCUUGAGCGUGGGAGAGGAAAGUGGAAUUCCUGGUGUAGCGGUGAAAUGCGUAGAUAUCAGGAGGAACACCCGUGGCGAAGGCGGCUUUCUGGCCCACUGCUGACGCUGAGACGCGAAAGCUAGGGGAGCGAACGGGAUUAGAUACCCCGGUAGUCCUAGCCGUAAACGAUGGAUACUAGGUGUUGGUGGUAUCGACCCCACCAGUGCCGUAGCUAACGCAUUAAGUAUCCCGCCUGGGGAGUACGGCCGCAAGGUUGAA
This 377-nucleotide ribosomal RNA is filed under the name uncultured bacterium. Its description in RNAcentral is "bacterial SSU rRNA". It matches the Rfam family "Bacterial small subunit ribosomal RNA", at positions 523 to 898 of the family's 1533-position model. The record is from RNAcentral.